Molecule: small nuclear RNA, 299 nt
Filed under: Propithecus coquereli (Coquerel's sifaka)
Lineage: Eukaryota; Metazoa; Chordata; Mammalia; Primates; Indriidae
Description: 7SK RNA (ENSPCOG00000011426.1)
Rfam family: 7SK RNA
About the family: 7SK was discovered as an abundant small nuclear RNA in the mid-70s but a possible function has only recently been suggested.
Source: Rfam by way of RNAcentral
GGGUGUGAGGGCAACCUGGCUGUGACAUCUGUCAUCCAUUGAUCAUCAAGGUUGAUUCAGUUGAUCUGGCUGGCUGGGCAGGGGUCCCCUUCCUCCCUCAUUGCUCCAUGUGCGUCUCUCCCGAAGCUGUGAGCUCUGUUGAGGAGGACGACCUUCCCCGAUAGAGGAGGACUGUUCUUUGGUCAAGGGUAUAGGAAUAGCUGCGCUCCCCUGCUAGAACCUCCAACAAAAUCCUUGAUGUCCCAGAAAGAAUACAGGCCUCACCUUGAGGAGAAGAGGUUGACUUCCCUCCACUCUGC